RNAcentral lists this ribosomal RNA (253 nucleotides) under uncultured bacterium. RNAcentral describes it as "partial 16S ribosomal RNA". It matches the Rfam family "Bacterial small subunit ribosomal RNA", at positions 524 to 776 of the family's 1533-position model. The record is from RNAcentral.
UACGUAGGGUGCGAGCGUUGUCCGGAAUUAUUGGGCGUAAAGGGCUCGUAGGCGGUUUGUCGCGUCGGGUGUGAAAAUCCAGGGCUUAACUCUGGACUGGCUUCCGAUACGGGCAGACUAGAGGUAUGCAGGGGAGAACGGAAUUCCUGGUGUAGCGGUGAAAUGCGCAGAUAUCAGGAGGAACACCGGUGGCGAAGGCGGUUCUCUGGGCAUUACCUGACGCUGAGGAGCGAAAGUGUGGGGAGCGAACAGG